UACGUAGGGUGCGAGCGUUGUUCGGAAUCAUUGGGCGUAAAGCGAGAGUAGGUGGUUUGCUAAGUCGGGUGUGAAAUCCCUGGGCUCAACCCAGGAAGUGCAUUCGAAACUAGCUGGCUAGAAGAUGGUAGAGGAAGGUGGAAUUCCAAGUGUAGAGGUGAAAUUCGUAGAUAUUUGGAGGAACACCGGUGGCGAAGGCGGGUCUCUGGGCCGAUAUUGACGCUGAGGAGCGAAAGCGUGGGGAGCGAACAGG
This 253-nucleotide ribosomal RNA is filed under the name uncultured bacterium. RNAcentral describes it as "partial 16S ribosomal RNA". It matches the Rfam family "Bacterial small subunit ribosomal RNA", at positions 524 to 776 of the family's 1533-position model. The record is from RNAcentral.